GACGAACGCUGGCGGCGUGCUUAACACAUGCAAGUCGAACGGAAAGGCCCUGCUUUUGUGGGGUGCUCGAGUGGCGAACGGGUGAGUAACACGUGAGUAACCUGCCCUUGACUUUGGGAUAACUUCAGGAAACUGGGGCUAAUACCGGAUAGGAGCUCCUGCUGCAUGGUGGGGGUUGGAAAGUUUCGGCGGUUGGGGAUGGACUCGCGGCUUAUCAGCUUGUUGGUGGGGUAGUGGAUUACCAAGGCUUUGACGGGUAGCCGGCCUGAGAGGGUGACCGGCCACAUUGGGACUGAGAUACGGCCCAGACUCCUACGGGAGGCAGCAGUGGGGAAUAUUGCACAAUGGGCGGAAGCCUGAGGCAGCAACGCCGCGUGCGGGAUGACGGCCUUCGGGUUGUAAACCGCUUUCGCCUGUGACGAAGCGUGAGUGACGGUAAUGGGUAAAGAAGCACCGGCUAACUACGUG
Molecule: ribosomal RNA, 468 nt
Filed under: uncultured bacterium
Lineage: Bacteria
Description: partial 16S ribosomal RNA
Rfam family: Bacterial small subunit ribosomal RNA
Source: RNAcentral